Molecule: long non-coding RNA, 421 nt
Organism: Myzus persicae (green peach aphid)
Lineage: Eukaryota; Metazoa; Arthropoda; Insecta; Hemiptera; Aphididae
Exons: 3
Source: RefSeq, a predicted model, not a curated record
AAUCAUCAUUAAGAGCUCUGAUCACGCCACCACUCCUCCGUGCUCUACGUCAGGCGAAAGCCACCUGUGUAUAAAAUGACGUACUGAUGCUUCAGUCUAGCAUAACGCAAUUUUUGUGCAAACAUAAUCUUUAAUUUCACUUUAAUCCUCAAAAACCAAACAAAAAACCAAAAAUGGGCGCUGAAAAAGUAACCAUGAACAUCGUUGUCGUCGGACAAGUCCAAUCUGCCAAGGCCAUCAAAUCGGUCGCCAAAGCCACCCCAGCCACCAGCCAAUUGAUGAACUGUUAAUUCAAGACCACAUCAAACUCAAACUCAAAAAUGCCAUAGCCCAAACAGUACUUAAUUUUAUAAUUUAUUUCUAAUUAUAAUAAUUACAUGUAUUGACAUUGCAAAAUAAAUCAGUAACUUCCGUCAAUUAA